RNAcentral lists this small RNA (76 nucleotides) under Halpernia frigidisoli. RNAcentral's name for it is "Flavo-1 RNA". It matches the Rfam family "Flavo-1 RNA". The record is from Rfam by way of RNAcentral. Lineage: Bacteria; Pseudomonadati; Bacteroidota; Flavobacteriia; Flavobacteriales; Weeksellaceae.
UUCUAGCCCUGAUCGCAGUGGAUACCGCUUACGUCUGAAAAGAAGUAAGUGGUAGAAACGAAGAGCAGGAAGGGUU